GCCAAGCACGGUGGCGCAGGCCUGUGAUCCCAGCAGCUCAGGAGGCUGAGGCAGGAGGAUCACAAGUUCAAGCUCAGCCUCAACAACUUAGUGAGCCCCUGUCUCAA
Molecule: small RNA, 107 nt
Filed under: Marmota monax (woodchuck)
Lineage: Eukaryota; Metazoa; Chordata; Mammalia; Rodentia; Sciuridae
Source: RNAcentral